AGUGGAUGGGGAGCAACCUAGUUGUGCGUGUGUAAAGGUAGUGCCAAGAAAAGCGGUGAUCAUGAUGAAAAUCAAUUCCCGGUACCCGAAACCGACACAGGUGGGCAAGUAGAGAAUACUAAGGGGCGCGAGGUAACUCUCUCCAAGGAACUCGGCAAGAUGACCCCGUAACCUAGGGAGAAGGGGUGCCACCGAGAGGUGGUCGCAGUGAAGAGGCCCAGGCGACUGUUUAGCAAAAACAUAGGUCUCUGCAAACUCGAAAGAGGAGGUAUAGGGGCUGACGCCUGCCCAGUGCCGGAAGGUUAAAGAAGUUGGUCAGUCUUAGGAUGAAGCUAGCGACUGAAGCCCCGGUGAACGGCGGCCGUAACUAUAACGGUCCUAAGGUAGCGAAAUUCCUUGUCGGGUAAGUUCCGACCCGCACGAAAGGCGUAACGAUCUGGGCGCUGUCUCGGAGAGAGGCUCGGCGAAAUAGGAUUGUCUGUGAAGAUACGGACUACCUGCAUUUGGACAGAAAGACCCUAUGAAGCUUUACUAUAGCUUGGAAUUGUGUUCGGGCUUCCUGUGCGCAGGAUAGGUGGGAGGCGUAGAAGGUAUUCUUGUGGGGAUACUGGAGCCAACGGUGAGAUACCACUCUCAGGAGGCUAGAAUUCUAACUUAAUUAAGGACAGUUUCAGGUGGGUAGUUUGACUGGGGCGGUCGCCUCCAAAAAGGUAACGGAGGCGUACAAAGGUUCCCUCAGACUGGUUGGAAAUCAGUCGAAGAGUGCAAAGGCAGAAGGGAGCUUGACUGCGAGAAGUACAGUUCGAGCAGGGUGGAAACACGGUCUUAGUGAUCCGACGGUGCUGUGUGGAAGGGCCGUCGCUCAACGGAUAAAAGUUACUCUAGGAUAACAGGCUGAUCUCCCCCAAGAGUUCACAUCGACGGGGAGGUUUGGCACCUCGAUGUCGGCUCAUCGCAACCUGGGGCGGAAGUACGUCCCAAGGGUUGGGCUGUUCGCCCAUUAAAGCGGUACGUGAGCUGGGUUCAGAACGUCGUGAGACAGUUCGGUCCAUAUCCGAUGUAGGCGUGAGAAUAUUGAGAGGAGCCUUCCUUAGUACGAGAGGACCGGGAAGGACGCACCGCUGGUGUACCUGUUAUGAUGCCAAUUGUAAACGCAGGGUAGCCAAGUGCGGAGAGGAUAACCGCUGAAAGCAUCUAAGUGGGAAGCCCACCUCAAGAUGAGUAUUCUGGUGUAAGGUCACGGGAAGACGACCCGUAAAUAGGCACGAGGUGGAAGUGCAGAGAUGUAUGAAGCCGAAGUGUACUAAUAGACCGUCGGCUUGAUCA
Molecule: ribosomal RNA, 1326 nt
Filed under: metagenome
Description: bacterial LSU rRNA
Rfam family: Bacterial large subunit ribosomal RNA
Source: RNAcentral